RNAcentral lists this ribosomal RNA (410 nucleotides) under Pseudomonas sp. RNAcentral describes it as "partial 16S ribosomal RNA". It matches the Rfam family "Bacterial small subunit ribosomal RNA", at positions 355 to 777 of the family's 1533-position model. RNAcentral also lists the same sequence under 4 other names. The record is from RNAcentral. Lineage: Bacteria; Pseudomonadati; Pseudomonadota; Gammaproteobacteria; Pseudomonadales; Pseudomonadaceae.
UGGGGAAUAUUGCACAAUGGGCGAAAGCCUGAUGCAGCGACGCCGCGUGAGGGAUGACGGCCUUCGGGUUGUAAACCUCUUUCAGCAGGGACGAAGCGCAAGUGACGGUACCUGCAGAAGAAGCACCGGCUAACUACGUGCCAGCAGCCGCGGUAAUACGUAGGGUGCAAGCGUUGUCCGGAAUUACUGGGCGUAAAGAGUUCGUAGGCGGUUUGUCGCGUCGUUUGUGAAAACCAGCAGCUCAACUGCUGGCUUGCAGGCGAUACGGGCAGACUUGAGUACUGCAGGGGAGACUGGAAUUCCUGGUGUAGCGGUGAAAUGCGCAGAUAUCAGGAGGAACACCGGUGGCGAAGGCGGGUCUCUGGGCAGUAACUGACGCUGAGGAACGAAAGCGUGGGUAGCGAACAGGA